Molecule: unclassified non-coding RNA, 420 nt
Filed under: Psychotria brachyanthoides
Lineage: Eukaryota; Viridiplantae; Streptophyta; Magnoliopsida; Gentianales; Rubiaceae
Description: partial external transcribed spacer
Source: RNAcentral
UUGGAUCCCUACUUGCGUAGCGACGUCCUCUCGUGCAUUCCUCUUCAAUUAUUGGCACAAGAGCCUCUUUUGCCUUNGCCAAGUUGUUAGUUUCCUGUGCUGUAUACCUACAUCGAUGGAAUUUUUUGGGCAAUCUAUCCCAAGCUUUCCCACUGCUGCCCGUCUACACGGUGCGGCAACGGGAAAACCUUGAAGCGAAAUUCGUGUUGCGAAUUGCAUAUUAAUUGCUAUGCAUUCUCGGCCCACGAGCGUAGCUCGAUUUUGGGGAUUCAGAAAACACUGCGGGUAAGGGUCGUCGAACCCUCUAUUUGCCCCCAAAUUGGCAUUACAUGCCCCAUUCGAUUGACGAUCGAUGUCUCAUAGAUGUUUUACAUCUUGCGGCUCGAUGUCUCUGAGGAAUGCUACCUGGUUGAUCCUGCC